AGCGUUUGAACAGAUUUCUUCGGAUUGAAGUUUUUGCGACUGAGUGGCGGACGGGUGAGUAACGCGUGGGUAACCUGCCUCAUACAGGGGGAUAACAGUUAGAAAUGACUGCUAAUACCGCAUAAGCGCACGGUGCUGCAUGGCACAGUGUGAAAAACUCCGGUGGUACAAGAUGGACCCGCGUCUGAUUAGCUAGUUGGUAAGGUAACGGCUUACCAAGGCGACGAUCAGUAGCCGACCUGAGAGGGUGACCGGCCACAUUGGGACUGAGACACGGCCCAAACUCCUACGGGAGGCAGCAGUGGGGAAUAUUGCACAAUGGGCGAAAGCCUGAUGCAGCGACGCCGCGUGAGUGAAGAAGUAUUUCGGUAUGUAAAGCUCUAUCAGCAGGGAAGAAAAUGACGGUACCUGACUAAGAAGCCCCGGCUAACUACGUGCCAGCAGCCGCGGUAAUACGUAGGGGGCAAGCGUUAUCCGGAUUUACUGGGUGUAAAGGGAGCGUAGACGGUAAAGCAAGUCUGAAGUGAAAGCCCGCGGCUCAACUGCGGGACUGCUUUGGAAACUGUUUAACUGGAGUGUCGGAGAGGUAAGUGGAAUUCCUAGUGUAGCGGUGAAAUGCGUAGAUAUUAGGAGGAACACCAGUGGCGAAGGCGACUUACUGGACGAUAACUGACGUUGAGGCUCGAAAGCGUGGGGAGCAAACAGG
Molecule: ribosomal RNA, 706 nt
Filed under: uncultured Lachnospiraceae bacterium
Lineage: Bacteria; Bacillati; Bacillota; Clostridia; Lachnospirales; Lachnospiraceae
Description: bacterial SSU rRNA
Rfam family: Bacterial small subunit ribosomal RNA
Source: RNAcentral